UACUAGAGUAGCACUCGCAUAUCAAUAAGCGGAGGAAAAGAAACUAACAAGGAUUCCCCUAGUAACGGCGAGUGAAGCGGGAAGAGCUCAAAUUUGAAAUCUUAAAGGGUUUCCCUUUACGAAUUGUAGUUUAAAGAAGUGUUUUCUGUUGAGGUUUUGGUAAAAGUUCUUUGGAAUAGGACAUCAUAGAGGGUGAGAAUCCCGUAUUUGACCUUUACUUUCAACUUUGUGAUACACUUUCAAAGAGUCGGAUCGUUUGGGAAUGCAGUCCAAAAUGGGUGGUAAAUUUCAUCUAAAGCUAAAUAUUGGCGAGAGACCGAUAGCGAACAAGUACCGUGAGGGAAAGAUGAAAAGAACUUUGAAAAGAGAGUUAAACAGUACGUGAAAUUGUCAAAAGGGAAGCGUUUGACACCAGUGUUGUUUUUCUGAAAAUCAAUUAAAGAACUGUUUAUGCUAAGCUGUUUAGACUUUAUCAGCUAUCUGUUUAGUUUUAGGCUUUUCUUUAAUGCACUUUUCAGUUAACAAGUCAACAUCAAUUUCUUUUGCUGUAAAAAAGCUUGAGGAAGGUGGCUUGAGAUUCGUCUUAAGUGUUUAUAGCCUCUUGCCUAUGCAGUCGGAGAGAUUGAGGUCUGCAGCGUAGAUCCUUCGGGGCUAAAUGCAUUUGUGCUAAGUUAUAGCAUUUUAUAGACAACUUGUUGACUAUGAUUUGUCCUGUAGCUUACUCGCUUAUGUUAUUUUACCUACGCUUAGGAUGUUGAGCGCAUGUCUCUCUCU
Molecule: ribosomal RNA, 774 nt
Filed under: uncultured Neocallimastigales
Lineage: Eukaryota; Fungi; Neocallimastigomycota; Neocallimastigomycetes; Neocallimastigales
Description: partial large subunit ribosomal RNA
Rfam family: Eukaryotic large subunit ribosomal RNA
Source: RNAcentral